Molecule: ribosomal RNA, 644 nt
Filed under: uncultured bacterium
Lineage: Bacteria
Description: bacterial SSU rRNA
Rfam family: Bacterial small subunit ribosomal RNA
Source: RNAcentral
GCUUGCUUCUCUUGAGAGCGGCGGACGGGUGAGUAAUGCCUAGGAAUCUGCCUGGUAGUGGGGGAUAACGUCCGGAAACGGACGCUAAUACCGCAUACGUCCUACGGGAGAAAGCAGGGGACCUUCGGGCCUUGCGCUAUCAGAUGAGCCUAGGUCGGAUUAGCUAGUUGGUGGGGUAAUGGCUCACCAAGGCGACGAUCCGUAACUGGUCUGAGAGGAUGAUCAGUCACACUGGAACUGAGACACGGUCCAGACUCCUACGGGAGGCAGCAGUGGGGAAUAUUGGACAAUGGGCGAAAGCCUGAUCCAGCCAUGCCGCGUGUGUGAAGAAGGUCUUCGGAUUGUAAAGCACUUUAAGUUGGGAGGAAGGGCAGUAAAUUAAUACUUUGCUGUUUUGACGUUACCGACAGAAUAAGCACCGGCUAACUCUGUGCCAGCAGCCGCGGUAAUACAGAGGGUGCAAGCGUUAAUCGGAAUUACUGGGCGUAAAGCGCGCGUAGGUGGUUCGUUAAGUUGGAUGUGAAAUCCCCGGGCUCAACCUGGGAACUGCAUUCAAAACUGACGAGCUAGAGUAUGGUAGAGGGUGGUGGAAUUUCCUGUGUAGCGGUGAAAUGCGUAGAUAUAGGAAGGAACACCAGUGGCGA